Monopterus albus (swamp eel) is the source of this 1407-nucleotide RNA transcript. It is a transcript of the gene named polymerase (RNA) III (DNA directed) polypeptide H, with no coding region annotated. The transcript is spliced from 7 exons. The record is from RefSeq and is a predicted model, not a curated record. NCBI's taxonomy places the organism in Eukaryota, Metazoa, Chordata, Actinopteri, Synbranchiformes, Synbranchidae.
GAUUAUUACACUUUGUGUGAUCUUACAUUAAUUGUGAAAAUAUUUGUCAGUUUCACAGACGAUGACUAAAGAAUGAACACAUAAGCGACUCGUCUUGUUUUCGAUUGUUGGACCACAGCUGCUCUGGUUGUGUGUUUGUGUGUGAGUGAGUACCUGCUGCUCUCAGUGUGCAUCAUGUUCGUGUUGGUGGAGAUGGUGGACACUGUCAGGAUCGCUCCGUGGGACUUCGAAAGACAACUCAACGACGCCAUAGUCGAGGAGCUCAACAAGAAACUGGCCAACAAGGUGGUCUACAAUGUUGGCCUCUGCAUCUGCUUGUACGACAUCACUAAACUGGAGGACUCCUACAUAUUCCCAGGGGAUGGAGCCUCACACACUAAAGUUCAUUUUAGGUAUGUUGUUUUUCACCCUUUCCUCGAAGAGAUCCUGAUCGGCAAGAUCAAGUACUGCAGUCAGGAGGGAGUUCAUGUGACAAUGGGCUUCUUUGAUGACAUCCUCAUUCCCCCGGAGUCGCUUCAACAGCCUGCAAAGUUUGAUGAAGCCGAGCAGGUCUGGCUUUGGGAGUAUGAGACAGACGAGGGGGCCCACGACCUCUACAUGGAUCAGGGAGAGGAGAUCCGUUUUCGGGUGACGGACGAAGUCUUUGUGGACACAUCACCGACGGGCCCGGCCACUGCAGCGACUGACACUCCGACACAACCAGGACAGUCGACAGCACCGCCAGCAGAGGAUGGCAUGGGGAAGAAGGAGGCGCCGUACACUCUGAUUGGGACCAUCUGUGAGCCAGGACUCGGGCUGUUGUCAUGGUGGAACAGUUAGCACAGCACAGGAAGAGAGAAUCACGCUGUUACGAACAGAUCGACCAUCGUGGCUGAUCGGAGAGACGAGUGACGAUCAGGACGCUGAACCCUGCUGUGUCGAGACAAAAUGGAUCGAGACACUGUUAGUGUAGAAGUGAUGGAGGUAAACUCUGUCACACCAAGACUGAUUAUACAGUACACUCUGCCCUAAACAUGCCAGACUACAGAGAAUGGUGAAGUCUCAGGUUUGGUUCGUCUCACAUGUGAUCCUCACCCCAGAUCAAAAGAAAGCAAGAAGUAAUCGAUGAUGAUUUGAACGGUCAUAGCUACUGCAGCCUGGUGGUAGGACACAGGUCACAAAAUCUGGGACAAAUAAACUUGGUGUUCAUUCAUGUCAGACAUUGGGAACAUUUAGUUUAAAGUUGAGAGAAAUAAGGUAGAGUGACACUUGAGAUGUCGUGACAGUGGGAGUCAAAUAUGUUGUUUCAAACUUAUUUUAAAUUUUGUUUUAUGUUCCAGGUUUUUGUACCCACCUCCUCUGUUUAUUUACCAGCCUUGUGAUAUUUUGUAUUUCUCUCAUCUCACAGUAAAAUGGGUGAAUUUUCAA